CGGCGGACGGGUGAGUAACACGUGGAUAACCUACCUAUAAGACUGGGAUAACUUCGGGAAACCGGAGCUAAUACCGGAUAAUAUAUUGAACCGCAUGGUUCAAUGGUUAAAGACGGUUUUGCUGUCACUUAUAGAUGGAUCCGCGCCGCAUUAGCUAGUUGGUAAGGUAACGGCUUACCAAGGCAACGAUGCGUAGCCGACCUGAGAGGGUGAUCGGCCACACUGGAACUGAGACACGGUCCAGACUCCUACGGGAGGCAGCAGUC
RNAcentral lists this ribosomal RNA (266 nucleotides) under uncultured Staphylococcus sp. Its description in RNAcentral is "partial 16S ribosomal RNA". It matches the Rfam family "Bacterial small subunit ribosomal RNA", at positions 96 to 355 of the family's 1533-position model. The record is from RNAcentral. Lineage: Bacteria; Bacillati; Bacillota; Bacilli; Caryophanales; Staphylococcaceae.